Molecule: long non-coding RNA, 3117 nt
Filed under: Cricetulus griseus (Chinese hamster)
Lineage: Eukaryota; Metazoa; Chordata; Mammalia; Rodentia; Cricetidae
Description: lncRNA (ENSCGRG00015037733.1)
Source: RNAcentral
GUGGAUCUCUGUGAGUUCGAGGCCAGCCUGGUCUCCAGAGCGAGUGCCAGGAUAGGCUCCAAAGCUACACAGAGAAACCCUGUCUCGAAAAACCAAAAAAAAAAAAAAAAAAAAAAAAGACCCUAAGGAAGACAAUGUGGGUGCUGGGAACUGAACCCCCUUCUUCUGAAGGACAGCUAUGCUCUCUCAUUGCUGGGCCAUCUCCCUAGCCCCUUUACUUUUCCUUUGGUUUAUUUGGGGGGGAUGUUUGUUUGGUUUUGAGAUAGGGUCUCUCUGUGUAGGUCUGGCUGUGCUGGAACUUGCUAUGUAGACUAGGUUGGCCUAGAACUCAUUUUUCCUUGCCUCCUUUCAGAGUGCUGGGAUUAACGGCAUGUGCCAUCGUGCCCAGCUCAGCCCCUUUGUUUCAAUUUGUGUAUUUAUAUUUAGAGGGUUUUUGUUGUUCCUGCUCACUGCUGUUGUUUUACAGAAAGUGAACCUAGGUCCUCAUGCACGCCAGGCAAAGGGUCUUAUACUGAGAUUGAUCCAGGCCCCCAGAGUUGUUUGUAAGUAGCAAACAGUAAGACUUUGUGUUUCUCUUUAGAACUCCUAUGCUUUAAAUUAGCUUUUAUAAAACAAUCAACAUGACUUCAAGCUACCAUUUGCUGUUUUUCUUCUAUUUAUCCCUUAUUUGUACUUAUCUUCUUUUGGAUGAAUUUAGUAUUUUUACAUGAUUUCAUAUUUUUUCCACUUUAUGCUACAGGCCGAUCUGACCUCUCUAUGCAGAUCAGGCUGGUCUUGAACUCACAAGUGCUGAGAUUAGGACCUACACCACCCUACCUAGCCAGGUUAUAUUCUUUUGUUUUAAUAGUUUAGCCAAGAUUUACAAUAUACCCCUUAACUUAUCAUUACCUUUAAACAAUGCCAUUCUUAUACUCUGUGUAGAGUGAAAGACAUAAUGAUUUACCUAUGUGACUCCCUUCUUUAAAAGUAUGUGUGAUGGCUUUCAGGUCUUGGCUCCAAGAUGACAAAAAAAAAAAAAAAAAAAAAAAAAAAAAAAAGAUGAAACAACGGGGGUGAAAAAAAAAAAAAAAAAAGGCUGAGGCCUUGUGUAGCCAAUUUGCUGCAUGAACUGUGCCCAGUGCAUGCCCAAGGACAAGGCCAUUAAGAAGUUGGCCAUUCAGAACACUUUAGAGGCAGCUCCUGUCAGGGACAUAUCCAAAGCAAAUGUCUUGGACACCUAUGUGCUUCCCAAACUCUAUGUCAAGCUGCAUUACUGUGUGAGCUGUGCUAUUCAUAGCAAAGUAGUCAGGAAUGGAUCUCCAGAAGCCUGGAAGGACUGAACACCUCCACCACAAUUUAGACCUGCUGGUGCUGCAUCACAACCUCCACCAAAGCCCAUGGAAAGAGAUGGCUUCAUGAAGACAGAAGAAAAAACAUCUUGGAAAAAUAAAAUGGGACUUUAUGUAGCAUUUGAAAAAAAAGUAUGUGUGGUGAUAUAUUAUUUAUGAUCUAAUAUAGCUUGCCUGGAGAUCAGAAUGCAAAGCUAGCCACAGCCAAACAAGCUGGGGCAGUGGUGGCACACACCUUUAAUCCCAGGGCUCAGGAGACAAAGACAGAUAGAUCUCUGGGAGUUCAAGGCCACCCAGGACUACAUGAGAGUGAAUCAGGCUAAAAGAGAAACAGAGCUCAUGCCUUUAAUCCCAGCACUAGAGAGGUCUAUAAGACAGGAAGGAGCAGGGUCUCAGAGCUGGCCGUCAGUCUUGGCAUUCAGUCUUAGGCAAUUAGUCUCCAGACACAUUGGGAGAUUUAGUUUCUAGGUACACAGAAGCCAGGAUCUCCAUCUGCCCUUGUAGAGGUAGGAGCUACUACUGGUUGGCUGCUUUGCUUCUCUGAUCUUCAGCUUGAACCCCAGUAUCUGUCUCUGGGUUGUUAUUAUUUGUGUUAUAAGAAUGUGCUGUUGUGGGGCUGGAGAGAUGGCUCAGUGGUUAAGAGCACUGACUGCUUUUCCAGAGGUCCUGAGUUCAAUUCCCGGCAACCACAUGGUGGCUCACAGCCAUCUGUUAUGAGAUCUGGUGCCCUCUUCUGGUGUGCAGAUAUACAUGGAAGCAGAAUGUUGUACACAUAAUAAAUAAAAUCUUUUAAAAAAAAUGGAUUUCAUAGCAAUGUGUUUUCAGCCUUGUCUCAAAAUAUGUUAGUGACAUAUAUAAAUGUGAUUCUUAUUUUUUUUAAAAAAAAGAAUGUGCUGUUGUAAUUGGUUUAACUUUAUUUCACUUUUCUCUGUUAUAAACCCACAAUGACUUAUCAUUGCUACAAAGAACUGGUUAUACUUAAGAUAGAUAUUUAAUGCAGAGAAGGCAGCUUUCCUUGACCUUUAAUUGGUUGAGUGGCUGGUCCAAGGAAUGCAGGUGUGACCUCUCUGCUACUGUUUGGGGUGGGGGUACUUCUAUUGUAAGUGUCACACCGUCCUCGAGUCCCCAGAGCUUCACUCUAGGUACUAUACGCUCUUGGUCACUGCCUAUCUGGUAGACGGGGCUGGCCUAGCGCCACAGAUGGCUUCCUUCUCAGCUUGUCUUACAGAUGUCUGCUGUGACUUCAAGUUCCUUUGGAGAUUAUGGGACAGGGCCUCCUGUCGGAGGUAGCUCGUGCUUACUCUGCUCUUUCUAUGCUCGGACAUGAGACUGUGUCUUCUAUGUGUUUUCUCUUAAUUCUCUCUGCAGCUCACAAGGGAGAUAGAGCUGCUUUCCCCCUUGAGAUAGAGCUGCUUUCCCCCUUUUCAGACUGAGAUGAGAGCAAACUGGAAUGGGCCUCACUUCUCGCUAUUCCGAAUGCCAGUUUGGUGUGACUAAAGCACACAUUCUGCCAACUAGUGCCAUCAAGGUUGAGAGCACUAGACUGGGAGGCGGGGCCUUGGGUUCUCAGUCCAGCUUUUCUAAUUCUCUUUUCUCUCUUUCCACUUUAAUUAUGUGUGUGUGUGUCUAUGUGUGCGCACAUGAGUGUAGGUGCCUGUGGAGGCCAGAAACAUCAGAUCAUCCCAAAGCUGGCAUUAGGUGCAGUUGUGAGCUUCUUGACACGGGUGAUGGGAGCUGAACUUGAAACCUCUAGAAGAGCAUUGUGUGUGCUCUGAGCCAUCAAUUCAUC